Molecule: ribosomal RNA, 421 nt
Filed under: uncultured bacterium
Lineage: Bacteria
Description: bacterial SSU rRNA
Rfam family: Bacterial small subunit ribosomal RNA
Source: RNAcentral
UAAGGAAUAUUGGUCAAUGGACGCAAGUCUGAACCAGCCAUGCCGCGUGAAGGAUGAAGGUCUUCUGGAUUGUAAACUUCUUUUAUCUGGGACGAAAACGGGAUUUUUAUCUCAAUUGACGGUACCAGAGGAAUAAGCACCGGCUAACUCCGUGCCAGCAGCCGCGGUAAUACGGAGGGUGCGAGCGUUAUCCGGAUUUACUGGGUUUAAAGGGUGCGUAGGUGGGCUUAUAAGUCAGUGGUGAAAUCUCCGAGCUUAACUUGGAAACUGCCGUUGAUACUAUAGGUCUUGAAUUAUCUGGAGGUAAGCGGAAUAUGUCAUGUAGCGGUGAAAUGCUUAGAUAUGACAUAGAACACCAAUUGCGAAGGCAGCUUACUACAUAUAAAUUGACGCUGAGGCACGAAAGCGUGGGGAUCAAACA